AAAAUAAGCAGGAACAACAAUAAAGAGUGAUGGAAAAGAUAAUAGUCACAAAGGGGAACAGGCAGAAUCUGUAUCAACACUGAUAUGGAUACAGAUUCUGCCUGUUCCCCUUUGUGACUAUUAUCUUUUCCAUCACUUUUUAUUGUUCCUGCUCAUUUCU
Non-coding RNA from Pelobates cultripes (western spadefoot toad), 160 nucleotides. NCBI's taxonomy places the organism in Eukaryota, Metazoa, Chordata, Amphibia, Anura, Pelobatidae. The record is from the annotation of a GenBank genome assembly.